CAUUUCUGCAGGAACCUGCAACGCUGAGCACACUUACGCCCCAGCUCACCUGGCGGACGCCGCCCAGCCAGGAGGGUGAA
Molecule: long non-coding RNA, 80 nt
Filed under: Capra hircus (goat)
Lineage: Eukaryota; Metazoa; Chordata; Mammalia; Artiodactyla; Bovidae
Description: lncRNA (ENSCHIG00010004555.1)
Source: RNAcentral